This 76-nucleotide transfer RNA is filed under the name Serratia marcescens. RNAcentral's name for it is "tRNA-Ala". It matches the Rfam family "tRNA". From Rfam's summary of the family: Transfer RNA (tRNA) molecules are approximately 80 nucleotides in length. Their secondary structure includes four short double-helical elements and three loops (D, anti-codon, and T loops). Further hydrogen bonds mediate the characteristic L-shaped molecular structure. tRNAs have two regions of fundamental functional importance: the anti-codon, which is responsible for specific mRNA codon recognition, and the 3' end, to which the tRNAs corresponding amino acid is attached (by aminoacyl-tRNA synthetases). tRNAs cope with the degeneracy of the genetic code in two manners: having more than one tRNA (with a specific anti-codon) for a particular amino acid; and 'wobble' base-pairing, i.e. permitting non-standard base-pairing at the 3rd anti-codon position. Lineage: Bacteria; Pseudomonadati; Pseudomonadota; Gammaproteobacteria; Enterobacterales; Yersiniaceae. The record is from RNAcentral. RNAcentral also lists the same sequence under 1 other name.
UGGGCUAUAGCUCAGCUGGGAGAGCGCCUGCCUUGCACGCAGGAGGUCAGCGGUUCGAUCCCGCUUAGCUCCACCA